RNAcentral lists this ribosomal RNA (511 nucleotides) under Vibrio sp. UmPT_1_104. Its description in RNAcentral is "bacterial SSU rRNA". It matches the Rfam family "Bacterial small subunit ribosomal RNA", at positions 374 to 877 of the family's 1533-position model. Lineage: Bacteria; Pseudomonadati; Pseudomonadota; Gammaproteobacteria; Vibrionales; Vibrionaceae. RNAcentral also lists the same sequence under 1 other name. The record is from RNAcentral.
GGCGCAAGCCUGAUGCAGCCAUGCCGCGUGUGUGAAGAAGGCCUUCGGGUUGUAAAGCACUUUCAGUCGUGAGGAAGGUGGUAGUGUUAAUAGCACUAUCAUUUGACGUUAGCGACAGAAGAAGCACCGGCUAACUCCGUGCCAGCAGCCGCGGUAAUACGGAGGGUGCGAGCGUUAAUCGGAAUUACUGGGCGUAAAGCGCAUGCAGGUGGUUUGUUAAGUCAGAUGUGAAAGCCCGGGGCUCAACCUCGGAAUAGCAUUUGAAACUGGCAGACUAGAGUACUGUAGAGGGGGGUAGAAUUUCAGGUGUAGCGGUGAAAUGCGUAGAGAUCUGAAGGAAUACCGGUGGCGAAGGCGGCCCCCUGGACAGAUACUGACACUCAGAUGCGAAAGCGUGGGGAGCAAACAGGAUUAGAUACCCUGGUAGUCCACGCCGUAAACGAUGUCUACUUGGAGGUUGUGGCCUUGAGCCGUGGCUUUCGGAGCUAACGCGUUAAGUAGACCGCCUGGG